This 253-nucleotide ribosomal RNA is filed under the name uncultured bacterium. Its description in RNAcentral is "partial 16S ribosomal RNA". It matches the Rfam family "Bacterial small subunit ribosomal RNA", at positions 524 to 776 of the family's 1533-position model. The record is from RNAcentral.
UACGAAGGGGGCUAGCGUUGUUCGGAAUCACUGGGCUUAAAGGGCGCGUAGGCGGGCUCACAAGUCCGGGGUGAAAGCCCCCAGCUCAACUGGGGAAGCGCCUUGGAUACUGUGGGCCUCGAGGGAGGUAGGGGCGUGCGGAACUUCCGGUGGAGCGGUGAAUGCGUAGAUAUACGGAAGGAACACCGGUGGCGAAAGCGGCGCGCUGGACCUCUUCUGACGCUGAGGCGCGAAAGCCAGGGGAGCAAACGGG